Lytechinus variegatus (green sea urchin) is the source of this 616-nucleotide long non-coding RNA. RefSeq lists it as uncharacterized. The transcript is spliced from 2 exons. The record is from RefSeq and is a predicted model, not a curated record. Lineage: Eukaryota; Metazoa; Echinodermata; Echinoidea; Temnopleuroida; Toxopneustidae.
ACACAAUUUCCGUUUAUUAGUAGACGUGAAAAGGCUUAAGUUACUGGACUAUUUAACAGGUCUCAAUGUAACAGGUAGUCCUGAGAACUGUCAACGCAUUAGUCCUGUGAGCAAUAUGACCGAUAACCCUCAUCUACUUCAUGAGAUGUUGCAGGUGGAGUAUGGUGAAAUCACCAUACCCACAUAUAAAGGGCCCUUCAAAGGACAUUAAAUUAAAGCAAUGAUCAAAUUGCUUCUCGAAUGUGGUGACAGGGCUCCCAAAUUUUGUUGCCCAGGCUUCCACCUGUGAGUUUUGAUAGUUUGGAUGUGUCUACCUUACUUGGUAGACUCCAAAAGUUAGAGGGAGAGAUGACAGCUCUGAAACAAUCUGUGUUGUGUCAGGCAAAAGUUUCAGAAGAUCUGCAGCUAGUUGCUUCAGAAAUGGAUUUGCGUGUCUUUGUUCAGUGCAGCACCAAAAGCUAAAUCCACGUCUAUGAAGUCUGAUGUUCUUGAUGUACCGGUGCAGCAAGAAGCCGAAAUAGAUUAUUCUUGGAGCCAGGUAGUAUGUGGUGGGAGGCGUAGAGCUUCAUCUGAUGAGUCCGUCAACAGGCAAACAACAAACGUUCGGGUGACGAAA